RNAcentral lists this transfer RNA (76 nucleotides) under Podarcis lilfordi (Lilford's wall lizard). RNAcentral's name for it is "tRNA.Tyr". Lineage: Eukaryota; Metazoa; Chordata; Lepidosauria; Squamata; Lacertidae. The record is from RNAcentral.
UGUACCUUCACAGCAAUGGGCAAGUGUGUCUGGCUAUAAACCAGAAGGUUAGUGGUUCAAGCCCACCCAGGGACAG